UGGCUAGUCUGCCGACGAAUAAGUGCUAUCUGAUCAAAUAUGAUCCAGACAGGCCCAAAUAGACUACACGCGCCAAGCCGAAUAGUGAAAAAUUUAAUUCUAGAUUCAGCACUGACUAACAUUUAUGAUACUAACGAUAAAAAUGUUAGCGUAGGUUGUAGAGCAAUAAAUUAAUUAAAACUUUAUUAAAAGUAAAUAAUUUAUAUUUUAUUUAUUUGUCUGUUAAAUUACAUUACAUCUAAAGUGCUUUAUGGAAACAUUAAACGAUAAGAAAGUGAACGACUUGCAAUGCCGCUAAAUGUAUUCAGUUUUAAUUUUAUCUCCGAGCAGUUAACAUUACGAAAAUUGUGAUAAUGGUAUUGAAGGAUAUUAUCGCUGAGAAUUCUGACGAGACUGCGGCAGUAAAUGACAGCAAGUAUAGAGCAUUUUCUGAGGGGCAUCGCACUAAUUUUCGACGUUACCAUGUGUACCCGCAUACUUUAUGUUUUCAAUAGGUCCGAAAGUGGGCGUGCGCCAUUUGCAAAGUAUGCUGAUAUUUUCCGGUUUCUGUGUAGCGUUUAUGCAGCGAGCCAAUCUCUCAGUGGCCAUUGUGGCAAUGAUGGACCGCAAUUCCACAAAUCCAGAUUUUCCGGAGUAUGAGUGGUCGGAGCAAACAAAGUCAGUGCUACUGAGCAGCUUCUUUUGGGGUUAUGCCCUCAUGCAGAUACCAGGCGGUCAGCUGGCGCACCGUUUUGGUGGUAAAGUAAUGUAUCUCUACGGUGUCGGUAUUUCUGGAUUUCUCGCCUUGUUUACGCCCUUAAGCGCACAACUGGGCGAUUGGAAAUUCAUUUGCGCCAUACGAUUUCUGCAAGGCUUCUGUCAAGGUUGUCUAUAUCCUUCGACGCAUACGCUUUUAGCGCGAUGGGCGCCACCAGCUGAACGCGGCAUACUUGCAACAAUUUGCUUUUCCGGCCCACAAUUCGGCACUAUCAUAAUAUUGAGUAUUAGUGGUGCGUUAGCUGCUUCAAAGUUUGGUUGGCCGAGCAUUUUCUAUGUUUCCGGCGGUUGUGGUAUUAUCUGGUGUUUGGUGUGGCUGCUGUGGAGCGCUGAUGCACCGCAUAAAUCCAAAUUAAUUACACCCAAGGAGCGAAAUUACAUCGAAUCAGAAUUAGCAGCAAUUUCUAAGAGUGAGAAUAAUACCACCACGGCAAAGUUGCCCACACCUUGGUUAAGCUUAUUCACUUCCUUGCCAUUUUGGGUGCUACUCCUCUGCAACUGUGCCUACAGUUGGGGCUAUUGGACAAUGAUGACAGAAAUACCUUCGUACAUAAAGAAUGUGUUCCACAAAGACAUCCAGAGGAAUGCUUUGCUCUCCGCCCUGCCAUAUACCGCUAAUCUAGUAUUCGGUCUGUGUUUCUGUGCCAUCGGUCAGGUACUGCUGUCAAAGAAAGUUUUGAGCACGAAUGCUAGUCGUAAGAUCUUCAACACGAUCGGCAUGUGGACUCCGAUGACGGCCACUAUUGCGCUGGGGUUUGUCGACGCCGAUAAUGUUGAUGUGGCUGUUAUCUUACUAACUGUGGGUGUUGGCACCGAUUCAGCAACAUUUUUAGGUUAUCUUUUAAACCAUAUGGACUUAUCACCGAAUUUCGCCGGUGCUAUGAUGGGCAUUACAAACUGUGCGGCGAAUUGUAUGAGCAUUUUUGCACCGUUACUUGUUGGCGUCAUUGUGACAGAUACGACAAACCCAAAUCAGUGGCAUUUUAUUUUUUACAUUAUGGCGGGAUUCUAUUUUAUUGCCAACUUACUUUUUGUUACUUUGGGUAGCACUAAAUUACAGCCGUGGAACGAGCCAGUGAAACGAGACACAGAUCGUGUCCAAGAAAACGUUGAAUGAUGAAAGUAUCUCCAUUUCAGCUAGCUAAUAGAGGGAGCUGGAGCAUAAUGCUAAUGCGAAAUGUCAAAGAAUAAUUUUGUUCUUUUGUUUUCUUGUUUUUUGUUCACCUGAAAUUAUCAGUUUUGUUAUCAGUGUCGGGUGUGGUACCGACUGAAUUCCUAUCUUUAACUUUGUUAUUUUUAUUUGAGGUAAUUAUUGUUUAAAUAAGGUAAAAAUAACUCAAAAUUAUCGAGAAGAUCCAUAUGUCAGUGGAAUGCAACAUCAAAUGGUCCAUUAAUAUAAAAUAAAUUAAUUAAUAUAAGAAAAGUCCUAAAUUAGAGUUUUAUGAUUGCGAUGUCAAACAAGAAUCCCGGACGUGGUUAAUCUUAGUGGUAUGGUAGUAUGACGACUAAAAAGUGUGUAAUUAACUUCAGCUUUUGUUAUUGCUGAUGUUAUGGCUAUAUACCGGGAUGUCCCAUUUAUACAAGCUUUAGUGU
This is an RNA transcript of Bactrocera dorsalis (oriental fruit fly), 2349 nucleotides long. It is a transcript of the gene named putative inorganic phosphate cotransporter, with no coding region annotated. The record is from RefSeq and is a predicted model, not a curated record. The transcript has 6 exons. Lineage: Eukaryota; Metazoa; Arthropoda; Insecta; Diptera; Tephritidae.